GCACAAGCGGUGGAUGAUGUGGAUUAAUUCGAUGCAACGCGAAAACCUUACUACCCUUGACAUGUCCGGAAUCCCGAAGAGAUUUGGGAGUGCUCGCAAGAGAGCCGGAACACAGGGUGCUGCAUGGCUGUCGUCAGCUCGUGUCGUGAGAUGUUCGGGUUAAGUCCCGCAACGAGCCGCAACCCUUGUCAUUAGUUGCCAUCAUUUGGUUGGGCACUCUAAUGAGACUGCCGGUGACAAACCGGAGGAAGGUGGGGAUGACGUCAAGUCCUCAUGGCCCUUAUGGGUAGGGCUUCACACGUCAUACAAUGGUCGGUACAGAGGGUUGCCAACCCGCGAGGGGGAGCUAAUCCCACAAAGCCGAUCGUAGUCCGGAUCGCAGUCUGCAACUCGACUGCGUGAAGUCGGAAUCGCUAGUAAUCGUGGAUCAGCAUGUCACGGUGAAUACGUUCCCGGGUCUU
RNAcentral lists this ribosomal RNA (461 nucleotides) under uncultured Rhodocyclaceae bacterium. RNAcentral's name for it is "bacterial SSU rRNA". It matches the Rfam family "Bacterial small subunit ribosomal RNA", at positions 923 to 1382 of the family's 1533-position model. The record is from RNAcentral. Lineage: Bacteria; Pseudomonadati; Pseudomonadota; Betaproteobacteria; Rhodocyclales; Rhodocyclaceae.